This 300-nucleotide ribosomal RNA is filed under the name uncultured Kaistia sp. Its description in RNAcentral is "bacterial SSU rRNA". It matches the Rfam family "Bacterial small subunit ribosomal RNA", at positions 114 to 431 of the family's 1533-position model. Lineage: Bacteria; Pseudomonadati; Pseudomonadota; Alphaproteobacteria; Hyphomicrobiales; Kaistiaceae. The record is from RNAcentral.
CGCGUGGGAACCUACCUUGUGGUACGGAACAACCAAGGGAAACUUUGGCUAAUACCGUAUGAGCCCGAGAGGGGAAAGAUUUAUCGCCAUGAGAUGGGCCCGCGUAGGAUUAGCUAGUUGGUGAGGUAAUGGCUCGCCAAGGCGACGAUCCUUAGCUGGUCUGAGAGGAUGACCAGCCACACUGGGACUGAGACACGGCCCAGACUCCUACGGGAGGCAGCAGUGGGGAAUAUUGGACAAUGGGCGCAAGCCUGAUCCAGCCAUGCCGCGUGUGUGAUGAAGGCCUUAGGGUUGUAAAGC